Molecule: long non-coding RNA, 3253 nt
Organism: Symphalangus syndactylus (siamang)
Lineage: Eukaryota; Metazoa; Chordata; Mammalia; Primates; Hylobatidae
Source: RefSeq, a predicted model, not a curated record
CAGCACGAAGCAAAAAGGGCACUCCAUAAUUCUUGUCUUUUUGGGAGACAGAAUCUCUAUCAGCUGUAAACAACAGACAAACAAAACUAAAACUCUCUUUUUGACAAGUUUGUAAAGCCUGGACGUCUAUAAUAAUCCUCCAGGCCGUAUGCCACUCUCCUUAAUUCAGCCAGUUCAGCAACAAGAAGCCUACCCAGUGGGAAGAAUGCUAUCAAGUUUCCUGGCAUCUCUAGCUGGACAUACUACUUUUGAAUACAACUGGAAACAUGUUAAGCAACCAAAGAUGGAACCAAUACUCAGCUACUCCUGUGAGCCACCAGAGGACUUACGAAUUUCUCUCUAAAUAAGAAGCUAAGUAAUGCUCUUCCUCAUUUUAUCUCAAAGUAGGGGAAUCCCAAUAUUGGCAAUCUUAUUUGCAGUGGUGCUCUUGAUUCUUACCUUAACCCUACCUUGCGCACCACCGGGUGUUCCAUUAAGAGCUUGCUUUAUCUAAUAUUAAUUUUUUAACCUAGUUAUUUUACUUUUGACUGCUUUAGUCCAUCAGCAAUGUAGUAUUUUCGUGUUUAUAUUAGAAGUCAUAAUACUCUUUGCAGAUUUACUAAUAUGCCUUUGUUACUGUAAACCAACACCCUCUCCAGGGAAGUUUGCUAUGUCCCUCCUACAUUUAAACAUCAAAGCCAUAAUCUGAGUAGUGAUCUCUCUCUCUCUAAUACUCAUUGGGUUAACAGUCUCUCUUCUUAAUCAAGCAUCUCAAUUUGGCCCUAUUCUACUUCCCUUGGAACCAUGCACCCUAAUGUUCUAUGGUCAUUACUCAUACUUCUGACUAAAGUCACCCUCAUAUGCCCUAACUGCCCACAACUUUUUUUUAAGCACUUUGCAGGCAACUCCACAACUACUAAACUCUACCAGUUCUUCCUAUGCCUCAACCUGUUAGCUAGUCAUGAAUUCCUCUUCAUCCAGGGUGGGAAUGGCCUACUUGGCCACAAUACGAGAAUGGACAUCUACUCAAGCCCAACUUAGCUUCACCUACCAUCGGGACCUCUCUACACAAAACCUUCCCUCUGCUAGUAUAAUCUUUUUGACAAAACCUAAAGCAGCAUUUUAAGAUUUUCUGAAACCCACCCCCAUUUUUUCAAGUCCCUUGUUCUCCCCUGCUACCCUCAUUGGCCAGGCACUCCUAUGCAUGUGUGCUACUGUAAAUUGCAGAACCAUUGUGGAUGCUUUAGACCCAGCACAAUGCAACACAAUGAGCGCCAUUAUUGAUAUUUCUCAAAAUUUUGUUUCACUAAAUAUUCUCAACAUCAAAUGAGAUUUUCUAUUCUCCCCCAAAUGUUUUAACACCUGGACCAUUCAUCCAAAAUGACGCCACUGAAUUCUGUGUUGGUCACCCUUCUUGGAGUCAACCCAACCGAUGGUGUCAACAAAGCCAGUAUAAAUUAUGGAAAAGGUUUCAAGUCUUUGUUUCAGAAAACCCUCCUCCUUGAUACUACUAGAGACAUCCCCAUGAUAAAACAAAACAAACACAUAGGACCAAUGUCUGGCUCCCCUGGCAGCAGCAACUUUAGUGGCAGGAUCUCACAUAUUGGGUAGCCAACAAGGACCCUGGUCAAUGUUUGGAACUGACCUCACCUUCUGCAUCCAUUUUUAUCGACUACAGAACUUUACUUCCUGUGUGAAAUGCAGGCUUAUCUCUGCCUCUCAGGAAACUUGAUGAGCACAUGCACUCUGGCUUCCUUCACCCCUAAAAUUUCCAUUGUCCUGGGUGAUGCUUCCUUGCUGUUACCCUUUACUACCUCAAACCAGAUCAACUGUGCAGUUUAUCUUUUUUUUUUUCUCAAUGAGCUUGGCAUCACAAGUGCCACUACAGGAAUAGCUGGCAUAAUUAUUACCUCCUCAACUUACCACAACCUGUCUCUAGAACUGACUCAAAAAACAGAAACCAGUGCUCAGACUCUUACAGAGUUACAGCAACAAGUUGAUUAUCUCAUGGCUGUAGUUCAAUAUUGUAGAGGUCUUGCCACAUGCAGCUCAGGAAAGAAUCUGCCUUAUGCUAGGAGAAAAAUGCUGUUUCUGGGUUAACAGAUUAGGGAAAGUCCAGGACCAUGUUAGAGAUUUUAUAAACCAAGCCUGUCACCGUCAGAAACAUGCCACUGAGAGCUAGUGCUCCUCGGGUGCCAACUUGUUCAAAUUCUCAUCACAUCCUUUUUUGGGGAUCCCUAGCUUUUGUCUUGCUUUUUCUCUUUUGUGAGCUUUACUCACUAUAUCUAGUAACCACGUUUGUUUCCUCUCACCUGGAAACUCUCAGACUUCAAAUGGUCCUGCAACAGGAAUAUCGACCUAUUUUCUUCCUUUCUGUACAGCCAUGUUUCUCCACAUUUCCUCUGGACACUGCAAGUCAAACCUGGGAAAACAUGGAGGGAAUCUUUUUUCUGACAAAGAGCAAGAUAAUGAGACACUGAUGAGUUAUCUUAUGUCACCAGGAAGUAGUUACAGAAGACCCAGAGUGCACCUAGUCUCAAAGAUUUUUAGAGUCGCCAUCUAUUGAGGGAAUGUUAGAGUAGGCAGUUAGACAUGAGCAGAAAAAAAGAGCCCCAGAGGGAAAAAACCUCAAUGUCCAAAGACAACCCAAAACAUGUAUGCUAAAUUUGAGCAGAGAGGAGCAGAAAUACCUAUGAAGAACACCCUGAAACACCCCUUAAGACACCCAGUAAUUGCUCAUACUGUGAUUAAACUGUCAGAAUGUAGCUAGCUACAUGCUGAUAAAAAGGGAGAAAGGGCUAAAGGAAAAUUCCUAAGAGAUAUGCAGACACAGUAAGUACACAUUUGACUGCUAUAUUAUUUUCCUAAGGUGGUGGUAAUAAGCAGUGCUGCCAUUAAGAUUCAUUGAUCACUGGAACUCACACAUGUACAUCAGCUGACAGUAAGGAAGCAUCUCACAGACCUGGGCAGAAACUCGAUGAGGAUAAAAGAAGAGAUUUACCAGGAGGCAGACACUUCAGACAGAGAGAAGCCGACGAAGGACUUGGAUAAAGUGACUAAAAAUGAAAACUGUACCUCAUGAACUGCAUCCACUAAAACAAAACAAAUCAUAACAGACAAAUUUCCUCAAGAUUGUAACAUGAAUCUCAACAGAAAAGAUCACUGCAGAUUUUGAAUCUUGAAUCUAUACAGAUCAUUCUACUUUUCCAACACUUAACAUUUACACUCAAAAAUAAAUCAGCUUAAUAAAAAAGUUUUGCUAUGUCAUAGAAAA